AGUGAACGCUGGCGGUAUGCCUAACACAUGCAAGUCGAACGGCAGCACAGUAAGAGCUUGCUCUUACGGGUGGCGAGUGGCGUAAGGGUGUGGAAUGCAUCCGAAUCUACUUUUUCGUUGGGCAUCACGUAGGGAAACUUACUCUACUACCGCAUACUACCUACGGGUGAAAGCAGGGGAUCUUCGGACCUUUCGCGAUUGAAUGAGCCGAUGUCGGAUUAGCUAGUUGGCGGGGUAAAGGCCAACCAAGGCGACGAUCCGUAGCUGGUCUGAGAGGAUGAGCAGCCAAACUGGAACUGAGACACGGUCCAGACUCCUACGGGAGGCAGCAGUGGGGAAUAUUGGACAAUGGGCGCAAGCCUGAUCCAGCCAUGCCGCGUGGGUGAAGAAGGCCUUCGGGUUGUAAAGCCCUUUUGUUGGGAAAGAAAAGGAGCAGGUUAAUACCCCGGUGUUAUGACGGUACCCAAAGAAUAAGCACCGGCUAACUUCGUG
Molecule: ribosomal RNA, 492 nt
Filed under: uncultured bacterium
Lineage: Bacteria
Description: partial 16S ribosomal RNA
Rfam family: Bacterial small subunit ribosomal RNA
Source: RNAcentral